Molecule: ribosomal RNA, 253 nt
Filed under: uncultured bacterium
Lineage: Bacteria
Description: partial 16S ribosomal RNA
Rfam family: Bacterial small subunit ribosomal RNA
Source: RNAcentral
UACAGAGGGGGCAAGCGUUGUUCGGGAGUACUGGGCGUAAAGGGCGCGUAGGCGGCCCGCUAAGUCGAACGUGAAAUCCCCAGGCUCAACCUGGGAACUGCGUCCGAUACUGGCAGGCUUGAAUCCGGGAGAGGGAUGUGGAAUUCCAGGUGUAGCGGUGAAAUGCGUAGAUAUCUGGAGGAACACCGGUGGCGAAGGCGGCAUCCUGGACCGGUAUUGACGCUGAGGCGCGAAAGCUAGGGGAGCAAACGGG